AGCUUUGUUAUAAUUGUCUCUUAAAUACUCCAAUUUAGAUUUAAUGUGACUAUGGCUUUUCCAAAUAAAGUAGAGCAAACAGAGCAGUACAAGUUGCUGGGGGUUUUUUAUUUGUUUGUUUGUUGUUUUGUUGGGCGUGGGUUUGUUGCCUUGUUUGUUUGUUUGCUUGUUUGUUUGUUUUUGGGUUAUUUUUUUGUAUUGCCAGAACAAUCACAUACCCUUUAUAUUAUAAAAUGCCAUCUUCAUAUUUUAGGGCCAUACUGUGACAGCAAUGAUUAGUCACUACUAAAAACUGUACGAGUUCAGUCUCUGAACUAGUGUGGGGAAUAUCCAGUUAGCUACUGACAUAGUCCAGUACAGAUUCAUCUGCCAGAAUUCAAUAAAGCCACGUUGUUUGAGAAUAAACAUGGUGUAUCUGUAAUAUUUCCACAUAUCUCUGUCAAUAUAUAUAUCUGUUUUAUAUUACAAGCAUGAUGAUUAAGAUAUGUAAGAGCACUUAAUGCACAAAAAUAUACCAAAACUUGCACUUGAAGCUUAUUGUUUCAGCCUUCCAGAACCAUGAACUGCAGAUGUGGUCCUGCCUGUAGGAUUUAAGGUCAUGAAGUGUUUUCAGAGAGACAUUGACUUUGAAAAACUAGGAAAGAUGGAUUCAUCUCACAGGUAGUGAAAAUGCUGUGGGAAUAGUGAUGUGAGUCAUGAUCCUGCCUUAAAACUAUAAGUUCUUCAGGCUUGCAAAUGAGGUUGGAUCUUCACUGACAUUUUCUUCAGAUCCUUCUCCCCUCUGGAUUAUUAUGGGAGUGUGAAGACCCUUGGUACUAGAGGACAGAGGUUUUCCAUGUAAAGGCAUGUAAAACCAGAUGACAAAUGUAACCAAGUCCAUGUUCCCAAAAAAAAAAAAAAAAAAAAAAAAAAAAAAAAAGUGGAUAUUAUUUAAUAUUACUAGCUGUUUUCACAUGAAAUGCAGCUUUGCUGUCCAGCAAACAGGCUCAUUGGAAAACCAGCAAAUUUACUGUGUCACAUGCUGUUUCUUGCUAGGUUACCAGCACUGAUGAGGGGAGCAUUGGAGGGUUAUUUUAGCUUUACACAUGUAGAAAAAGAGAACACAGUUAACACUGCUACAGUAUAUACUUUGGAGCCAGGAUGUUUCCCUUCAACUGUUAUUCAAUGAAUGGCAUUAUUCAAUAUCUGUAAUCCUUCAGAGAUUAAGAAUAAUUAUCUAAUAAGAUAUGCUUUAGUGCAUCUGUAACAUCUGCAGUCUCCUGGUCACAGAAAUGCAUUUGUCACAGCGAGCACAGGGAGGAAACAGGCAGCCCUUCCCCAGCUGAAAACCUUAUGAAAACAGGGACCUCUCAGAGGAGACUGGGCAGGGGGGGAACAGCUCUGCACGCUGCUUGCCCCCUUGCACAGAAAAAGCAGAGCUUAAUUAAAAAAAAAAAAAAUCAUAAACCUGGGACUUUAAAAGAAAAAAAACCAGAAAAGCCCAAAUCCAACAAACCCACAUAUUUGUGGUUCUUCAAAGGGGCAGGCUCAAAAGAAACCGCCUCGAAAGCAGAGGAGUCUCCUAGGCUCUUUGCUGCUCUCAGCAUCCGUUUCCCCAUUUCUAGAAUGUGACGGUUCUAAGAGAGCAGGCAAGAAAUAAGUGUGGAAAGAGAAGAAAGAAAGUAAAUGGGACUACAACACAGAUGUUUACCUCCACACCUUGGCUUUGUGUGUGAAGACUUCAGUUCUGCUGGAAUCAUGCAAAAAAAGAGAAGAUUCCACUACAUUGUUUUCAGUGCUUCUCAAAUGGCUAAUUGUCUUAAUGGACAGAAAUCUGCAUUUUAUUCCUGUAUAUCCAGCUUUAUCCGACCUCUACUCAACCUGAUUAAGAUUGCUUCUGCCAGCAGAUGUUACUUGUAUUUAGACACUUAAAGAAGGUCGGGUUACCACAUGGCCUGCUGAUCAAUAAGCUGAAUAAAACUUGUGCAACU
Prinia subflava (tawny-flanked prinia) is the source of this 1970-nucleotide long non-coding RNA. RefSeq lists it as uncharacterized. Lineage: Eukaryota; Metazoa; Chordata; Aves; Passeriformes; Cisticolidae. The transcript is spliced from 3 exons. The record is from RefSeq and is a predicted model, not a curated record.